Molecule: transfer RNA, 81 nt
Filed under: Blumeria graminis f. sp. tritici
Lineage: Eukaryota; Fungi; Ascomycota; Leotiomycetes; Helotiales; Erysiphaceae
Also listed under: 1 other name
Rfam family: tRNA
About the family: Transfer RNA (tRNA) molecules are approximately 80 nucleotides in length. Their secondary structure includes four short double-helical elements and three loops (D, anti-codon, and T loops). Further hydrogen bonds mediate the characteristic L-shaped molecular structure. tRNAs have two regions of fundamental functional importance: the anti-codon, which is responsible for specific mRNA codon recognition, and the 3' end, to which the tRNAs corresponding amino acid is attached (by aminoacyl-tRNA synthetases). tRNAs cope with the degeneracy of the genetic code in two manners: having more than one tRNA (with a specific anti-codon) for a particular amino acid; and 'wobble' base-pairing, i.e. permitting non-standard base-pairing at the 3rd anti-codon position.
Source: Rfam by way of RNAcentral
GGGUGCUUGGCGCAAUGGUAGCGCGCGGUCCUCCUACACAGAGAAAGACUGAGGUUGAGGGUUCGAGUCCCUUGGUGCUCG